This 445-nucleotide ribosomal RNA is filed under the name uncultured soil bacterium. RNAcentral's name for it is "bacterial SSU rRNA". It matches the Rfam family "Bacterial small subunit ribosomal RNA", at positions 26 to 518 of the family's 1533-position model. The record is from RNAcentral.
AGAACGAACGCUGGCGGCAGGCUUAACACAUGCAAGUCGAACGGGUGUCGCAAGACAUCAGUGGCAGACGGGUGAGUAACACGUGGGAACCUUCCUAGGGGUACGGAACAACUCAGGGAAACUUGAGCUAAUACCGUAUACGUCCGUAAGGAGAAAGAUUCAUCGCCCCUAGACGGGCCCGCGUCGGAUUAGGUAGUUGGUGGGGUAACGGCCUACCAAGCCGACGAUCCGUAGCUGAUCUGAGAGGAUGAUCAGCCACACUGGGACUGAGACACGGCCCAGACUCCUACGGGAGGCAGCAGUGGGGAAUCUUGGACAAUGGGCGCAAGCCUGAUCCAGCCAUGCCGCGUGAGUGAAGAAGGCCUUAGGGUGUAAAGCUCUUUACCAGGGACGAUAAUGACGGUACCUGGAGAAUAAGCCCGGCAAACUUCGUGCCAGCAGCCGC